RNAcentral lists this long non-coding RNA (216 nucleotides) under Elaeis guineensis (African oil palm). RNAcentral describes it as "long non-coding RNA (EGUI_LNC062979)". The record is from RNAcentral. Lineage: Eukaryota; Viridiplantae; Streptophyta; Magnoliopsida; Arecales; Arecaceae.
GCGUGCCCUAUCUACCUCCUCUUGGAGCUCCACCUCAUAUUAGGCUCUCACUAGCAUCUUUCAUGAUAGUCAGCUUCUCCUCACAUAAUAAAGUAUUGAUCAACCUCUGUUGGAUGAGCACAUGCUUCACCCUUACCAUGGGGAGAAAUUGCUCUUCCCAUCAUAUCAGUUGAUCUCCAUCUUGAUUGAGCCUAACUUCUCCAUCUUUUUUAAUCC